AAAAAUCUUUAAUUUUCUAAUUACUAAUCAAGACAUAUUCCUAACCAUUUCAAAAAAUUAAACUAAAUGGAUUUCUAUUUAAGCUAGUUAAACUGAUCGUCAUGAAAAUCCUAAGUAUCCUAAUAACCAAAACUCUAAUCACUAACUAAAUAUCCUAAAAUUGCCUAAGCAAAGAUACAAUAACCUGAAAUAACCAAAGGAAAGGCCCAAGAGAAUGAGAGUGGGCCUGGUGGAUCAAGACUGUGCAGGCCCACAGAGGGAGGGUGCAGAAAGAGAAAUUUGGGCAAUGCAGAAAGGAGGAGGUAUGGAAAGCUUUGGGCCUCGGGCCCAACCCGCACCCAGGUUCGAAUGGCCUGAAUCGGUCUUCUUACUCCAUACAUGGCCAAAGUUCACGAACUUGAUGCCACAACUCACCAGCGCCGAACAUGGUGUCGCUCAGAAUCAUGGAUUCUUCUUCAUCAAUUAGGAAAUUUGUGACGGGAAGAAUGGAGAAUAUGACUUCGACUUCAAUUUCUGUUCCAGAUGUCAGCGUCCAAUGUUCACGAUCCAAUCUCUUCACGCAUACGGAAACAGAGAAAAAGAAAGAGAACACGACUUCGACUUCAACUUCCGUUCCCUAAAUAUCCACCCAACAUUCACGAUCCAACAUCUUCACCCACACGAAAACGGAGAAAAAGAAAAAGAACACGGCUUUGACUUCAACUUCCGUUCCCUAAAUCUCCGCCCAACAUUCACAAUCCAACAUCUUUACGCACAUGGAAGUAAUAUCGAAAAGAAUAAGAAACUCACCGAAUCGACGUUCCAUCCCAAAGUGGUAUUAAAAUCUUUCUAAUCCCUUAUGAUUUCAACUUAUAAUUCCUCUCGAAUUCUCUUGCUAUUGUUGUGAAAUGGAUUCCGUGGCGAUUAUUGAAUUGUCGUGAAGAUAGAUGAAGGAUUGAUUUACGCGACGAUUUCCCUCUUUCUAUUUUGGAUGAAUGAUCUGUUACCAAUGCGGGUGAUUGAAUAAAUUCCAGAUCGAAAGUGUUUGGGAGAUUCUGAUUUUGUUCAGAGAUAAGUGAUGAAGGCUCCGCAGAAAAAAAAGUAAGAGAUGAUGAACGAUCGAAGGUGAGUCAACACGACAGUGAAGAUGAAUUUUCGAACGGCAGUACUAGCUUGCCGUCGACAACGGAAAGAUUCACAGAACAAAACUCCAAACUCGAUUCAAUUCUUUGGAACAUCGAAUCGUCGUCCCGACGCGAGCAGGUAGCAAAUCAUCUUUGCUUCUAACUUCUUCUUUCUGUUUUGGACACUCAUGAUCCUUCUUCGUCUUACCGUUGUUGAUCUAUGAUUUGGUGAGGUUGUGAGGCUUGGGUUUCAAGGUUACAAGCACUUGGGAGAUUCUGCUCAAAGAAUGAAGGAAGCUCUCCAUUGGUUGAGGGUGAGCAUCAUGGAUAUGGUGGAAGAGGAUUGAAGAAAAAGAUGGAAGAAGAUUUGAAGAAUUGAAUGAAGAGGUUGAAUUGGAGAAGAAUUGGAAUCUGCAGGCAAAAAAAAUCCUCUGGAAAUCACAAUGAGGUUAUCUUUUAUAGUGUGUGAAUGCUUUGAGGAUGUACUAGCUUGAAUGCCUCUGUUAUGAGCUAAUUGAUGCAGGUCCUGUUAAAUAUUGAUUCAAAGUUAGAUUAAAUAUUGUUUAUGUGACAAACUGUUGAAAAGAUUAGUUAGCAAUUAUUGUAGUUAGCUAAGUACAAUUUGUUAAGACUUUAUUGAAGUUCUGUUAGCAGUGUGUAAGACCCCAAUUUUAACCCUAAGAUCCCUCAUGAUAUCUCAUCAUAUGCAUUGGCAUUGAGAUCAUACCUUGACACCCUCCUUACCCCUUACUCAUUGGGUUUGUUUUGGGAGAGAUCACCAAGUAUCAUGUGAUUGUAUCAUACUUAUUAUUUUAUCAUUUACUAACCAAAAUACAAAAAAUAUGUGCAUUUGUGUAACCUUUUUGUAGGUGAGGCACAUGAUCACCUUUGAUCUAUCAAGUUCACAUUUAGGGUUUAAGACCCUCAUUGCUAAGAGCUUAACCAAGGAAUGAUCCACAAAGGCUCUAGGAAUCAUAUAUGAGUCCCCAUGAUCUUUACGUGUAAUUUUGAUAAAGAAUUCUUCAAGAGUUUGGAAUUGGUUUGCCUUGGAAACCCUAGUUCAUCUGGGUAUCUUGUGUAACUUCUUCAACAAGCUUCUUCACCAAUUGAUCAAAUAUUUCAAGGGGCAUAUCAAAUUUCAUCAUCUUAUGCAUAUAUGAUCUCCCGAGAAUCCAAAGAGUCAAUAGAAUUGCAAGCUAGCAAGUUGGUUAAUGGAGGUUGACCAGAGGAAUUCAUCUUAUCAAAACUAGGGUCCCCUAGACCCUAUCUCUUACACUUUUCAUCAUAUGUAAAUUAUUCCAAAAGAAACGUUACUCUAAAUGACAUUCCAAACAACUUUCAUGUUGAGGUCUAGAGCUAGUUUUGCUUGGAAAGUCAUUUUUUAUGUUGAAAGAUUAUAGGUCAUUUUGUCUAAACCCUAAUUUGAAAGUCAACUUCCCAAGGCCAUAACUUGCUCAAUUUUUAUGAGAUGAAAGAUUUCCAAGUUGCACAAUCAAA
This is a long non-coding RNA of Lathyrus oleraceus (garden pea), 2600 nucleotides long. RefSeq lists it as uncharacterized. The transcript is spliced from 2 exons. The record is from RefSeq and is a predicted model, not a curated record. Lineage: Eukaryota; Viridiplantae; Streptophyta; Magnoliopsida; Fabales; Fabaceae.